RNAcentral lists this long non-coding RNA (1163 nucleotides) under Chlamydomonas reinhardtii. Its description in RNAcentral is "long non-coding RNA (CREI_LNC001209)". The record is from RNAcentral. Lineage: Eukaryota; Viridiplantae; Chlorophyta; Chlorophyceae; Chlamydomonadales; Chlamydomonadaceae.
CCCCUGCUGGCUGACCUCCGGCGCUUUGCAGACGAGCACGAGCUCUGCAGUGAGGGCAAGCGGUCAGAGGUGGUGAUGGAGGUCCUGAACUGGGGCGAGCAGCAAGAGGCGGAGGGGGGCGAGUCAGAGGACGAGGAGGAGUACAGCGAGUACGACGAUGAUGAGGAGGCGGAGGAGGAGGCGGAGGACGAGGAGGAGGCGGCAGCAGCAGGCAAGCAGGGUGUCACAGCUGUGGCUGCCCGUCUGCCCCUGCAGCCGGGCCAGCCCAACACAAGGCAAACGCGGGCCUUGCAGGCACAUCCUCACCUGGACAGCAGCGUGAGCGGUGUCACGCUUUAGUGGGCGCCGCUGCCGCUGUUGCUACCACUGCCACUGGCGCUCCCAAGGCUGCCACUGCCACCCCCACUGCUGCCGCUGGGCGCUGCUGUGCCAGCAGUAGCACCGCUGGCGAUGUAGGCCGCCAUUGCUGCCGCGUGUGCGCGGCGCGCCUCAGCCGCCGCAAGGUGAUAUGGCCGUUGGUCUGUUGUGUUGAACGGCUGGACGGUAUGUUCGAGGAGGAGGCUUGCGAGGUCUCCAGUGGUUGCGAGGGCUUCCAACUGAUCACUAGUGAGGGGGUUCUGUUGGUAGUAUUGCGCUAGGGCGCCACCGGGUGGGGGAGGCGGGUGGGUCUUCUUUCCGUGUGGUUUCUCCAUGGGCUGGGCUCUGGUCUAGGCCCACGUCAUUCGUAUGUGGUGUGCAACAAUUAUAUGUAGGGAUAGUCACCCAGGUCGUCACUCAGGUCACAGCGAGGGCAGAUUUUGGCACUUUGAGCAAACUAGUGGGCCAGGAGCGCUGCGUGGUAUUUAUUGAUUAACUAUAUACUCAAUGUGAUGUACUGGGGUGCGGAAGAGCAAGCAAAGCGCGAGCAUUGCAAUGAACCCUACACCGGAAUGAUGACCCAAGCCACAAAUUGAUAUGUGAAGUCAGAAUAUGUUAACCAGCUACCAUUCAACAACAUUAGCACAGCUAAUUUCCAGUGCCGCAAUUGUUCGGAAAUUGCCCCCUGUUCGGCGCUUCUGACCAAAAGCGCGUCCACCGAAAAAGCGUUGCAGCAAAUGCAUAGAAUGUGGAAACAUGAUGUGGAAAUGUAAGAGUAUAUGUUAUGCGUGUGGACAGAAGUUGUG